GCUGGGCGGAGGCAGUCUACCUGCAUGGCUCAGCCACGUUCUAAGCAGGAACAUCAACUCGAUCUGCUGCUUUUAACCACCCAGCUGGCUUGCAGGUCUGAGGGGAGGGGACAGGAUGGGAAGCAAGAAGAAAGACUCACAGUGGACAUGGGGGAAGCGACAGUGCCAAACUUCUCCCCUUGGGGAGCAGCGUGGGAGGGGCGACAGAGACGGAGCGUAAACAAACAUUUCCUUGUCUGAUGUUGGUGUUUGCAGCCCUCGUCUUACACGUGUGUUUGCGGCCUCUCUCCUCUCAGAGUGGCUCUCCGUGUUCUUUGAGGACCAUCCCCAUAAUGUCUUUAACAGCCACCGCCUCCUGAUCCCCUUCAGCACCUACUAUGGGACCACUGACCAAAGACACCUUGGUAUGUGACAGGCUGUCAAUUCCAAUGAAAUCUUUGAAGAUGGUAACAGGUACUUUAUUAAGCACUUGCUGUGUACCUGGCUCUGUUCCAAGCUGCUAGGUACUCGGGUACUUAGGUCCUUGGGUUUUCAACUACCUCAUGGAGUGACAAGCAAGGGAUAUAAGUUGCCCAAAGUCACCCAGUAAAUGGUGGGGCCGGGGUUUGAAGUCAGGUGGUCAGAUUCUGGAACCCAUCCUCUCAAUCACUAGCCUACACGUCACUCUAGAUUGAUUUGUCUUUGGUGUAAGGUCUCUUUUUUAACCUAGUGGGAGAAACUGAGGCAGGAAAGAAACCCAAAUCUCACCCAGGAUCAACGAAAGCCUGAGUGCCCAAGACUUUAUUUCAAAUGAACUUGAAGCAAAUUCCCCAGUCUGUUUUAUGUAGGUACCUAAUGCUACCUGUCAAGAGACCUUUCCAUUCCAAGCCUAUCUUUAUUUUUCUAAGUGUCCAAGAUUCGGGGAUAACAGUGAACAUUUGAGGGGAUACAAGAACAUACUCAGAAAAAAGCGUUUAGGAAGCUUUCUUUUCUCAUUACAAAUGAAUAAAGAAAAAAAAAAACCUUUGUCCCUUGAGGAGAUCAGCUGUAAUUUUUACAAUUUAAAUGCAUUACAGGCUGGACAGAACUAAGACACAGUAAUAGUAGCAAAGAGGUGGCUGAUAGUUUCAGCUUUCCACCUGCAGAGCUCUUUGGGAUUUGUCAAGUUCAAUCACAACCACAUUUCCAUUUUUCUAGAAACCUCUUGAAACAGCUCAUGGAAGCAAGUAUCGUGACCACAGAUGGGGAUAGUGUGGCUCAGAAAGGUGAAGGAAUGAGCCCAAGGUCCCAGAGUCCCAUGUACCCAAGCAGCAGCAUGGUUGGGUGGCAAAUGGUUCAUUCUGUACAACAGGCUGGUUAGCAAACAUCCUGGGGCCCAGGAGAAGCACUGCAAUAUGGAGACAAGUCAGAUAUGCCUCUCUCCCUCUGGUGAUAGAGGCUCUGUGCUAGGCUCACUUCCGUGUCUCCCGGUGCCCCAGCCUGGUGCCUCUGAGUCCUGGUAGCCCCUGGUAGCCAAGGCCCUAGGCAGCUGCAGCACUAGCCGUCCCUUUGAGAGCUCUCCAAACUAGUGCCCAGGUUCCUGCUAAGUGUCUGCCCCAGGCUCAUGAAGCCCGAAGUCUAAACAGGUUCCCUUCAAAUCCAAAAAAUUAAGCUGGACCCCUCUAUCAUUCCUCACACGAAAAUAAAUUCUAGACGGAUUAAUGCUCAAGUUAAAAAAUUAGAGCCAUAAAAAGGAUGGGGAGAAAAAAAAAUUGGUCAUUAAAAAUAUAUAUAAUCAUGGAGAGGAAAAGGCAAACACAAAACCCAAAGCCAUAAAGAAAAGAUUAAUAUAUCUAACUACAUAGAAAUUAAAAUCUCCUAUAUGGUGAAAAAAAUUACAAAUGCAAACAAUAACCCUGAAAAAUAUUGGUAACACAUUUCUUCAGUAUUCAAAGAGCUUAUAUAUCUCUAUAAAAAAGACAAAGCCAAAACACAAAAUGUACAAAGGACAUGAAAACCAGUUCAUAAAAGAAAUGUAAGUGGCCAGUAAACACAUGGGGAAAAAAUGCGCUUCUAAUGCAUGUGAAUUAAAAUGAGCCAGUUUCUCAGCAGUCAGAUUGGCAAAGAUUAGACGGGUUGGUGAUGCCCAGGAUGGGUGAGGACUUGGGUCAGUGAGCACUUUCAAGCAUUCCUGGGAAGGCCAAAGCGGCACAGCGAUCUAGGAGGCCAGUCUAGUGCUAUCUAGUUAAAUGUUAAAGGAUGCAUACCUGGGGACUUCUGGUCAUUCAUUCUACAGAGACGUUUGCCCAAGCACUCCACAGUGUACACACAAGGAGGCUUCACCUGCAGGAGCAUUUGUAGGAGGUAAGACACUACCAAGUAUACGCUCCGGCUGCAUAAGAGAAGAAAGUCUGUAUGUGCUGAUCUGGAAAGAUCUCUGGUGAACGCAAACCAAACAACAAACAAAACCAAGCGAUACCCAGAACGUCAUCAGACUAGCCCUGACUACCAGUGGCAUCUCCUCUCCUGCCUUAUUCCAGAUCCAGCCCAAGGUCAGGGAUAACGCACUUACUGAAUGAAUGACCUUGGGUACGUUACUCAACCUCUUUGUGCCUCAGUUUCCUCCCCAGAGAAUCGAGACUGUGACAAUGCCCUGUUAUAACGACCAAUGGAACAAUGCCCAGAAAGCAUGUAGAAGAAUUUAUGUUACUGCACUAUCUAAAUACUGGGCUUUUUAAAAGUAUAAUCACGAAGUAAAAGAGCUAGAAGUAGAACAGAGCAGAUAGCAUGCUUUCAUUCUUCAGGGAGAAGAGAAAUAACAUGCCCCAGUAUCCGUCUGCACGUGCAUCAAUGAUCUCCUCCCAAACACAAGGAAAUGGUGACUUUGUAACAUCACAGAGAGGCUGGGGGCAGCAGUGGGAGAGAGAAAAGCCCUUCUGAAUGCUGAACCAUUUUAUAUUUACAUAAAAAUCACAAAAUUUCAGGAAAGCUGUGCAAGAAAUGGUUACCGGUAGUUACACCUGGGAGCGAGGAGUUAGAAGACUUUGACUUUCAUUCCUUUUCUCAAGCCACUUAAUUUUUUUCUUACGCUCACAUGCCUUUGUGAGCUUUAUAGCAAAAAACAGAAAAAGGCUACGUGAGCUACAAAAGAUAAGGAAAAGAAAAAGGCUCCUUCCCACCUCCCAUGCGAGACUCGAGCAGCCGCCAUACGGGAGGCCAGGCCAGAAGCAGGGUGGGCAGCACCUGAAUGGGAUAAGCAGCCGUGGUUCUGGCUACAGUCCGGCACUGGGCAUUUCUCUGAUCCAUCUCCCAUCGGUAAUGGAAUCAACAGCCACUUAAAAAUUUCUGCUGGAGGCGCCUGGGUGGCUCAGUGGGUUAAGCCGCUGCCUUCGGCUCAGGUCAUGAUCUCGGGGUCCCGGGAUCGAGUCCCCUGCUUCCUCCUCUCUCUCUCUGCCUGCCUCUCUGCCUACUUGUGAUCUCUGCCUGUCAAAUAAAUAAAUAAAUAAAUCUUAAAAAAAAAAAAAAACCUCCGCUGGUUUCCACUGCCUACAGGAAAAAAGUCCAAACUCCAUAACACAGCCUGCUAAGUCCUCUGCAGUCUGUCCCCUCCCACCCCUGCAGCCUCAACCUCUAUGUCGGGGUCACACCAAGCAGCGUGCCACUGGGGGAAUGGGGGGGACGUGGUGUGGGGAGGAGACAGGUGGACCUGGGGGAAAAUCUCAUUUCGCCAUUUGUUAGCCUUGACCUUGGCCAAGCAAUGCAGCCUCUGAGCAAGGCUCAGAGCAAGGAUGAUACCACUUAGUCCUUGC
Molecule: long non-coding RNA, 3767 nt
Organism: Mustela putorius furo (domestic ferret)
Lineage: Eukaryota; Metazoa; Chordata; Mammalia; Carnivora; Mustelidae
Source: Ensembl